This 633-nucleotide ribosomal RNA is filed under the name Salinicoccus sp. J8.8. Its description in RNAcentral is "bacterial SSU rRNA". It matches the Rfam family "Bacterial small subunit ribosomal RNA", at positions 31 to 645 of the family's 1533-position model. Lineage: Bacteria; Bacillati; Bacillota; Bacilli; Caryophanales; Staphylococcaceae. The record is from RNAcentral.
UAACGCUGGCGGCGUGCCUAAUACAUGCAAGUCGAACGCGCGGAUCAGGAGCUUGCUCCUGUGACGCGAGUGGCGGACGGGUGAGUAACACGUAGGCAACCUGCCCAUCAGACCGGGAUAACCACGGGAAACCGUGGCUAAUACCGGAUAACCCUUUCCCACACAAGUGGGAAAGUUGAAAGGCGGCUUCGGCUGUCACUGAUGGAUGGGCCUGCGGCGCAUUAGCUAGUUGGUGGGGUAACGGCCCACCAAGGCGACGAUGCGUAGCCGACCUGAGAGGGUGAUCGGCCACACUGGGACUGAGACACGGCCCAGACUCCUACGGGAGGCAGCAGUAGGGAAUCUUCCGCAAUGGACGAAAGUCUGACGGAGCAACGCCGCGUGAGUGAAGAAGGGUUUCGGCUCGUAAAACUCUGUUGUCAGGGAAGAACGCCGACGGGAGUAACUGCCCGUCGGGUGACGGUACCUGACCAGAAAGCCACGGCUAACUACGUGCCAGCAGCCGCGGUAAUACGUANGUGGCAAGCGUUAUCCGGAAUUAUUGGGCGUAAAGCGCGCGUANGCGGUUCGUUAAGUCUGAUGUGAAAGCCCCCGGCUCAACCGGGGAGGGUCAUUGGAAACUGGCGGACUUGA